Molecule: long non-coding RNA, 1712 nt
Organism: Physcomitrium patens
Lineage: Eukaryota; Viridiplantae; Streptophyta; Bryopsida; Funariales; Funariaceae
Source: RefSeq, a predicted model, not a curated record
ACAAAGUGUUCAAUGUUCUAUGCCAUCUUAAACUUUAAUGCUUUCAUUACUACACCACAUGAAAAGCCCCUAUUCAAAAACUUGUGAUUUGGAACAUAUUGAUCUUUUCUACUAACAAGACAUAAUUUACAUGCAUUUGUAAGUGUAUCAUGUUAUGCACUUAGAAUUGAAUAUUUUAAAAAAACUACAAUUUCCAAAUCCUUGUUCGAAUGAAUUAGUUUUGAUAAGUUUUAAAGUUUGUCAUUCUUUUACCGUAGUACAAGAAUAAAAUCAGAAUCCCAAUCAUGGCCAACAUAUUAUAAGACCCACCGAAAAAGAUCAACUAGUCCAAUCAAGAGAGCAGUGACCUAACACGCAAGAAGUUGGGCACUAAGUCGUAGCGAAGUGGUAAAGUUGACAAUGAGACCAGUAAUUGAAACCCUAAAACCGAGGCAUGCAAAUGGGAGGCUCCUCCAAACCGUCUUCCGAGAUCGUUUAUGGAUGAAUGUAUUCCCACAUGAUAACGCUUACUGGAUGAACGUUCAUCUAUCUGAUACCCAAGUGGGACAAGAACCGGGCAUCAACAGACGUAAGCAAGUUGAAUUCCAAGGCCCGUUGAUGGCUUCGGCGUGGCGUGUGGCGAAGUCGGCGCGCGUCGACCUUCAUCUCACUGGGCAGGUCGCGACGAUGGCGUCGGACGCUUCGAUCCAACACGUUUGACUGUCAGCGCACGGCUAUUUUAAUCGCGAAUUUGCAGACGAAUUGGACGCCAUGUUCUGGUGAAUUUUUCGUGGAAGAUCGUGCCGUUCCGUCACUUGCAUCCCGUGCGUCCACUGCAAGACGGGGUCACGUAUCACGAGGAGCCUCGUUUCCUGAUGGUCACUACGCACGGGCCUUAGCCGGACUCUAUUGUUGCCCACGGCUACCUUUCAGGACUAAUCUCACCCCCCACUCGGAGGUGCUUCCGGAAGGUACUAUUAUCGCGCUGGAGCCGGUUAAUAGGGGGUCCUUUUGAACGAGAUCCGGCAACCUGGGCUGAAUGCCAGCUGUGGUGACGUAAGCUGUGAAAGCAUCGAGUCUCCCUGUGGUCUCACAGAAAUGCAACCAGGGAUUCGUUUACUGCACCGUAGCAAUUCCAGACUUGGGGAAGUGAUCGCCUGAAUUCCGGUGCUUUACUGCGGGUUUGGGGUUGGGGGUUGUUGGUGGGAGACUUCUUAUGUCCCGGUCAGCCGUCACGAGGGGACUUAAAUAUGUCUUCACUGGUACCGGAUUGUUUUUCUUCGACCUCUCAGGAGCGAGUUGUGAUGUAUGAUUGUUGUACCGUUUUGGCUUCAUCGGGACCAUCGACCUCUUCGCCGGGUCUGUCAACAGUCCAUGUUCUGAAUGGUUGACAGAUGUCAAUAGAUGAUUUUUCAGUAGGAGAUGGUGAGUUGACCCUCUAAGUGAUCCAUCUGACGACAGGAUAACACAGUCUGUACAAACAAUAGGUUAUACGGCAAAUUAUUGUAUCCCAGCUGCUUUUUCUCCAUGAAGUGAAAAUAUUGGGAGAAAAUUCUGAGCCCUUGAAAAAUGUCUGAAACUGACGUAGUAGAACUAUCUGUGAUCAAAUUUAUCUAUUUGUUUGUUUGUUUAUUGAAAAGUGCUCUGUGGUUUCUAAAAUACAAACCUUGAAUUAAUCUGAGGAUUCUGAAUUGGUAUCGAAGUCUUGAAAUGUAUCUGUGUACCUCACCUCA